UACGGAGGGGGCUAGCGUUUUUCGGAAUGACUGGGCGUAAAGGGCGCGUUGGCGGCGAUUCAAGUCAGAUGUGAAAGGCCUGGGCUCAACCCGGGAACUGCAUUUGAUACUGGAUUGCUUGAGUCCGGGAGAGGAUGGCGGAAUUCCCAGUGUAGAGGUGAAAUUCGUAGAUAUUGGGAAGAACACCGGUGGCGAAGGCGGCCAUCUGGACCGGUACUGACGCUGAGGCGCGAAAGCCAGGGGAGCAAACGGG
RNAcentral lists this ribosomal RNA (253 nucleotides) under uncultured bacterium. Its description in RNAcentral is "partial 16S ribosomal RNA". It matches the Rfam family "Bacterial small subunit ribosomal RNA", at positions 524 to 776 of the family's 1533-position model. The record is from RNAcentral.